RNAcentral lists this ribosomal RNA (497 nucleotides) under uncultured bacterium. RNAcentral describes it as "partial 16S ribosomal RNA". It matches the Rfam family "Bacterial small subunit ribosomal RNA", at positions 28 to 507 of the family's 1533-position model. The record is from RNAcentral.
GAUGAACGCUGGCGGCGUGCCUAAUACAUGCAAGUCGAGCGAACAGACGAGGAGCUUGCUCCUCUGACGUUAGCGGCGGACGGGUGAGUAACACGUGGAUAACCUACCUAUAAGACUGGGAUCACUUCGGGAAACCGGAGCUAAUACCGGAUAAUCUAUUGAACCGCAUGGUUCAAUAGUGAAAGACGGUUUUGCUGUCACUUAUAGCUGGAUCCGCGCCGCAUUAGCUAGUUGGUAAGGUAACGGCUUACCAAGGCAACGAUGCGUAGCCGACCUGAGAGGGUGAUCGGCCACACUGGAACUGAGACACGGUCCAGACUCCUACGGGAGGCAGCAGUAGGGAAUCUGCCGCAAUGGGCGAAAGCCUGACGGAGCAACGCCGCGUGAGUGAUGAAGGUCUUCGGAUCGUAAAACUCUGUUAUUAGGGAAGAACAAAUGUGUAAGUAACUAUGCACGUCUUGACGGUACCUAAUCAGAAAGCCACGGCUAACUACGUG